RNAcentral lists this unclassified non-coding RNA (216 nucleotides) under Hevea brasiliensis (rubber tree). The record is from RNAcentral. Lineage: Eukaryota; Viridiplantae; Streptophyta; Magnoliopsida; Malpighiales; Euphorbiaceae.
UUUGGCGGCUGGCUUUGACCCACUGUGGAUUCAGCUUUAAUCCCGGUACCAUAAAUUUAUUUCCUGUUGACUUGUCAGGGGAAAAACUAAAUGAUUAUGGUGGGAAGUUUGACAAGCAUCAAAAUGGACAGCUGGAUCAGCAUGUGCAGCUUGACGUGUAGCGGGUGAAGUGCAACGUAUUCCGCCACAGAUAUGUUCAUAGUUACUGUUUUGUAA